Molecule: ribosomal RNA, 469 nt
Filed under: uncultured Alphaproteobacteria bacterium
Lineage: Bacteria; Pseudomonadati; Pseudomonadota; Alphaproteobacteria
Description: bacterial SSU rRNA
Rfam family: Bacterial small subunit ribosomal RNA
Source: RNAcentral
GUUUGAUCCUGGCUCANAACGAACGCUGGCGGCACGCCUAACACAUGCAAGUCGAGCGCACCUUCGGGUGAGCGGCGGACGGGUUAGUAACGCGUGGGAACAUACCCUUCUCUAAGGAAUAGCCACNGGAAACGGUGAGUAAUACCUUAUACGCCCUUCGGGGGAAAGAUUUAUCGGAGAUGGAUUGGCCCGCGUUAGAUUAGAUAGUUGGUGGGGUAAUGGCCUACCAAGUCUACGAUCUAUAGCUGGUUUUAGAGGAUGAUCAGCAACACUGGGACUGAGACACGGCCCAGACUCCUACGGGAGGCAGCAGUGGGGAAUCUUAGACAAUGGGCGCAAGCCUGAUCUAGCGAUGCCGCGUGUGUGAUGAAGGUCUUAGGAUCGUAAAGCACUUUCACCAGGGAUGAUAAUGACAGUACCUGGAAAAGAAACCCCGGCUAACUCCGUGCCAGCAGCCGCGGUAAUAAGG